RNAcentral lists this ribosomal RNA (253 nucleotides) under uncultured bacterium. RNAcentral describes it as "partial 16S ribosomal RNA". It matches the Rfam family "Bacterial small subunit ribosomal RNA", at positions 524 to 776 of the family's 1533-position model. The record is from RNAcentral.
UACGAAGGGGGCUAGCGUUGUUCGGAAUUACUGGGCGUAAAGCGCACGUAGGCGGGUCGUUAAGUCAGGGGGGAAAUCCCGGAGCUCAACUCCGGAACUGCCUUUGAUACUGGCGAUCUCGAGAUCGGAAGAGGUGAGUGGAAUUCCCAGUGUAGAGGUGAAAUUCGUAGAUAUUGGGAAGAACACCGGUGGCGAAGGCGGCUCACUGGUCCGAUACUGACGCUGAGGUGCGAAAGCUAGGGGAGCGAACGGG